This is a non-coding RNA of Gnomoniopsis smithogilvyi, 91 nucleotides long. Lineage: Eukaryota; Fungi; Ascomycota; Sordariomycetes; Diaporthales; Gnomoniaceae. The record is from the annotation of a GenBank genome assembly.
GCGGGGAUAGCUCAGUUGGGAGAGCGUCAGACUGAAGUUCAAACUCCAGUUGCAAAUCUGAAGGUCGUGUGUUCAAUCCACACUCACCGCA